GGAGUUUGGGCCGUGUCUCAGUCCCAAUGUGGCCGGUCACCCUCUCAGGUCGGCUACUGAUCGUCGCCUUGGUGGGCCGUUACCUCACCAACUAGCUAAUCAGACGCGGGCCCAUCUCAUUCUGCCGGAGCUUUUCACACCGCUCCAUGCGGAGCUGUGCGCUUAUGCGGUAUUAACAGUCGUUUCCAACUGGUAUCCCCCUGAAUGAGGCAGGUUGCCCACGCGUUACUCACCCGUCCGCCACUCAGUUAAAAGUGCUUCAUACCGAAAUAAUCCGCUCAAUUAACCUCGUUCGACUUGCAUGUGUUAAGCACGCCGCCAGCGUUCAUC
RNAcentral lists this ribosomal RNA (330 nucleotides) under uncultured Lachnospiraceae bacterium. RNAcentral's name for it is "partial 16S ribosomal RNA". The record is from RNAcentral. Lineage: Bacteria; Bacillati; Bacillota; Clostridia; Lachnospirales; Lachnospiraceae.